GGGCGGGCCCCUCGCUCCUUCCCGCAGAGGCUUUUUCCCUCCCGACCCCGCACUCACCUGCCCAGGUCUGGAUCAGGGCCACGGCUCCCGAGAACAGCAGGAGGAGGGUUCGGGACUCCAUGACCCGCAACCUUGGCGUCUGGGGAGAAUCUGAGUCCCGGUGGGCCGGCGAGGACUUUAGAACCAGGAACCGCGGCGACACUGAUUGGCUGAUCUAGGAACCCAACACCCAAUGGAAGUGAGAACUGAGGCCGCAUCAUGAGUAUCCAGGUAAAAGGACCUGACACAGGUUGGGAAAGGUGGAAGAGAGAGAGCGGAGCUCGGGAAACCCCAAAGCUGAGCCGGCCCAUCCCAGGCACCGCCCUCGGGGCCUGAAGCCCAGAGAGCCAAGCUCCGGGCCCUGGGACUUGGCUCUUACCCCCUUCUUUUAUAUCAAACGCUCUGUCUCAAUGUCUCCCCGAAUCUUGGCCCCGGAGCUGUCUGAGAAACCAGAGAAAAACCCUCAGCAUGGGCUCAGUCCCUCUCCCUUCACUUUUCAUCCCAGAAUCCCCCUCCCUGAACUGGACUUCCUGCCUCCCAUUCCUUGCCUGUCCCCCUGGACUCUUCUAG
This 609-nucleotide long non-coding RNA is filed under the name Homo sapiens (human). RNAcentral describes it as "non-protein coding lnc-ATP6V1G2-DDX39B-3:1". Lineage: Eukaryota; Metazoa; Chordata; Mammalia; Primates; Hominidae. The record is from RNAcentral.